This is a small nucleolar RNA of Pygocentrus nattereri (red-bellied piranha), 80 nucleotides long. NCBI's taxonomy places the organism in Eukaryota, Metazoa, Chordata, Actinopteri, Characiformes, Serrasalmidae. The record is from Ensembl.
CUUGUCAGUGAUGUCUUAUCACAGAAGUAUGAGUUUAACAACCAUGAGAAUACUUCUCAUGCACUACCAUCUGAGACAAG